GAUGAAGAACGCAGCGAAAUGCGAUAAUUAGUGUGAAUUGCAGAAUUCAGUGAAUCAUCGAAUCUUUGAACGCACAUUGCGCCCCUUGGUAUUCCAUGGGGCAUGCCUGUUCGAGCGUCAUUUGUACCUUCAAGCUUUGCUUGGUGUUGGGUGUUUGUCUCGCCUUUGCGUGUAGACUCGCCUUAAAAUAAUUGGCAGCCGGCGUAUUGAUUUCGGAGCGCAGUACAUCUCGCGCUUUGCACUCAUAACGACAGCGUCCAAAAGUACAUUUUACACUCUUGACCUCGGAUCAGGUAGGGAUACCCGCUGAACUUAAGCAUAUCAAUAAGCGGAGGA
RNAcentral lists this unclassified non-coding RNA (336 nucleotides) under soil metagenome. Its description in RNAcentral is "partial contains 5.8S ribosomal RNA, internal transcribed spacer 2, and large subunit ribosomal RNA". The stretch from base 1 to 120 matches the Rfam family "5.8S ribosomal RNA", at positions 35 to 154 of the family's 154-position model. The record is from RNAcentral.